Molecule: ribosomal RNA, 484 nt
Filed under: uncultured bacterium
Lineage: Bacteria
Description: partial 16S ribosomal RNA
Rfam family: Bacterial small subunit ribosomal RNA
Source: RNAcentral
AUUGAACGCUGGCGGCAUGCUUUACACAUGCAAGUCGAACGGCAGCACGGGGGCAGCCCUGGUGGCGAGUGGCGAACGGGUGAGUAAUACAUCGGAACGUGCCCGGUCGUGGGGGAUAACGUAGCGAAAGUUACGCUAAUACCGCAUACGAUCUGAGUAUGAAAGCGGGGGACCUUCGGGCCUCGCGCGAUCGGAGCGGCCGAUGUCAGAUUAGGUAGUUGGUGGGGUAAAGGCCUACCAAGCCGACGAUCUGUAGCUGGUCUGAGAGGACGACCAGCCACACUGGGACUGAGACACGGCCCAGACUCCUACGGGAGGCAGCAGUGGGGAAUUUUGGACAAUGGGCGCAAGCCUGAUCCAGCCAUUCCGCGUGCAGGACGAAGGCCUUCGGGUUGUAAACUGCUUUUGUACGGAACGAAAAGGCUCUGGCUAAUACCUGGGGCUCAUGACGGUACCGUAAGAAUAAGCACCGGCUAACUACGUG